UCAUCUUUCAGGUUUGCUGGCUUUCAAAGUGAAAUCUCUCUGUCUUGCCCCAACAGCUCGUCUCUCAAUGUAUUAGCCAGUUGUGGAGCAAAUAGUAUGGUGUAGAAUUAAUACAGAGCUUAUUUUGCCCAAGGAACUGAUUGAAGUGAUUGGUGAGGAUUAAAAUCCACCUAAACAAAUCUGAGGAUAAAAGAAUUUUACCUGAAUCCUGUUUCAUUGGAUGCCUAGUAAAACAUUUGAAACAGCAUCAAGGUAUAUACCGCAUCUUCAACACAAUGGAGCCUCUGUUCUUCCUGCCCUACUUCGAGCUAGUCACUGUUAUUGGGAGCCCAUUUCUGCAGCCAGAGUUCAACUUUUCAGAGGACGUGUGUGUGUCACCCAUGGUAUGUCAGCUUGUUGACAAAGGACACAGGAAAUAAAUACUUGUGAGGUCCCUUUAGAGAGCCUCCAUUAACCAGGUUCUUGCCUCAAGAUGAAAGCAAAAUCCAUCAGUGCUUGCUGCGUCAUCUGGAAGAGGUUGAAAAACCCUGCCUCUGAUGGUUUACUCAUGGUGACAAAAAUGGGAUUAAUUAAAUGUCCCUGGUCCUUGGCUCCUGCCUCCCUCUCCAGCCCAGUUUCCCUCCGGGACAUCGCUUCCAUCAUUUACCCCAGGCUACAAGAUAGAGAUUGCCAUUCAGCUUCUCCACUCUAUUUUUCUUUAUCCCACCAUUGUCUCAAAUUUUCUUUACUUCUCACAUUCUUUCCUGCUUUAAGACACUUCUUUGUCCAUAACCUUAUACUUUUAUGAUUGACAGAUAAAGAUAAUUGAUUUUUCAUGAUUUAUAGUGCAGUGAUUUUCACUGCAACUGAGAAACUGGUUUGUGACCAGUUCGUCAGAACACUUCAUUUGGAUUGGAAGAAUUCUUAUGGGGAGAGAUUGGCAUAAUAUUCUAGCAGAGAAGCCCACUCCAAAAUGUACGGUUAAUGACUCUUGCAGUAGAAUUAGUUUAUGUAAGUUUAUUUUCUCUAAAUCAAUACCUGACCAUGACCAUUUCAACAGAUGGUACGAAUAAAAUGCCUCAGUCAUAAAAACCUCCUCUCAAAAACAAAAAAGGCGAAAGACCACAAAUUUUUUCCUUGAUUGCUUACACAAAUGUUACUCAAAACAAACAAAAGAAGGAAUAUAUCUUAAUCAGUCUCUACUUUAGCCCUGUACAAUGAUUACUGAACACUGGUAAAUUCUGUAUACACCAGAAGCAUGAGAUUAUCUCCCUGCUUUCACACAAGCUGAUCUUUCUCCAAUCAUAGGGGACAGUAUUCAGAUUACUUGAUGAUAUUUCAGGCCACUCUGCCUUCAACACACGGUGACUUCUGCCUAAAGUGUCCUCCUUUUCUUCAUCUUAUUAGAUUCAACUCAUCUUUCAAGAUAUGGGUAUGAUAGCACCUCCUUAAGAAAGCGUUCUCUGUCUAUCCUCGAUCAUUACUGUGCCCCACUCUGAGCUCAGAUAGCAUUCUGCAUGAGUAUUUAUCAUAGGAAUAGUGUGCUGUUAUAAUUUUGAUUUAUUGCUUCUCUUUUGGAUCACAGGCUAUUUUCAGGAGAAGAGCAUACCUUUUUCAGCUUUGUAUGCCUAAUACUUAGCAAAGAGUCUUUCAUAGCAGGGGUGCUAAUACUAAUUUGUUGAAUGAAUGAACUUGCUAAUGCCUUUGACUUAUACCAUUUUAGACACUUGUUGGCCGAAGAAGUCAAUCAAUAUAAUGAGAUGGAGUUCAUGGUGUUUUUAUCUAAAAUAAAUCUGAUCUCAGAAGUCCACUUAUAUUACACUUUUCAAAAUGAAAAUCAUGAAAUUAAUUUCUCUGGUUCUCAUUUACAAAUUUUAUAUUGAAUAAUCAGAUCAUACUGUUUAGUUAAGGGAAACCUUAGUUCCUAGACUUAUGCUUUAAUAAAAUUAUUUCUUUGGUUAGUUUUAAUAUUUUAAAACCUCAUAUUCUCACCAGUUAUUCAGCAAAUAUUUAUUGAUAACUCAUUAUGGGUCAGACCCUCCCAGUUUCAGGCACUAAAGACUGAGCAGAAAACGAAGUCCCUCUCUCAUGGAAUUUACAUUUAAAGGGAGGUAAACAGGUAUUAAACCAAACAAAUACAUAUACAGAGAGACUU
Molecule: non-coding RNA, 2134 nt
Organism: Odocoileus virginianus texanus
Lineage: Eukaryota; Metazoa; Chordata; Mammalia; Artiodactyla; Cervidae
Source: RefSeq, a predicted model, not a curated record